CCCUUAGAUGUUCUGGGCUGCACGCGCGUUACACUGAUGCAUUCAACGAGCUUAUAACCUUGGCCGAGAGGCCUGGGCAAUCUUGUUAACGUGCAUCGUGAUAGGGAUAGAUUAUUGAAAUUAUUAAUCUUGAACGAGGAAUUCCUAGUAAACGCAGAUCAUCAAUCUGCAUUGAUUACGUCCCUGCCCUUUGUACACACCGCCCGUCGCACCUACCGAUUGGAUGGUCCGGUGAAGCCUCCGGAUUGGCGCGCACCUCGGUGCCGCCGAGAAGUUGGCUAAACCUUACCAUUUAGAGGAAGGUGAANUCGUANCA
RNAcentral lists this ribosomal RNA (316 nucleotides) under uncultured eukaryote. RNAcentral's name for it is "partial 18S ribosomal RNA". It matches the Rfam family "Eukaryotic small subunit ribosomal RNA", at positions 1470 to 1796 of the family's 1831-position model. The record is from RNAcentral.